AUUGAACGCUGGCGGCAUGCCUUACACAUGCAAGUCGAACGGCAGCACGGGAGCAAUCCUGGUGGCGAGUGGCGAACGGGUGAGUAAUAUAUCGGAACGUGCCCAGUCGUGGGGAUAACGUAGCGAAAGCUACGCUAAUACCGCAUACGAUCUAUGGAUGAAAGCGGGGGAUCGCAAGACCUCGCGCGAUCGGAGCGGCCGAUAUCAGAUUAGGUAGUUGGUGAGGUAAAGGCUCACCAAGCCGACGAUCUGUAGCUGGUCUGAGAGGACGACCAGCCACACUGGGACUGAGACACGGCCCAGACUCCUACGGGAGGCAGCAGUGGGGAAUUUUGGACAAUGGGCGCAAGCCUGAUCCAGCAAUGCCGCGUGCAGGAUGAAGGCCUGGUGUAAC
Molecule: ribosomal RNA, 394 nt
Filed under: uncultured bacterium
Lineage: Bacteria
Description: bacterial SSU rRNA
Rfam family: Bacterial small subunit ribosomal RNA
Source: RNAcentral